RNAcentral lists this ribosomal RNA (499 nucleotides) under uncultured fungus. Its description in RNAcentral is "eukaryotic LSU rRNA". The stretch from base 128 to 281 matches the Rfam family "5.8S ribosomal RNA". Lineage: Eukaryota; Fungi. The record is from RNAcentral.
GCUUUUGUCUGCCAUCUCUUACCCAUGUCUUUUGCGUACUACACGUUUCCUCGGCAGGUCCGCCUGCCGUUGGACCCCAUUAAACCAUUUGAAGUUGAAGUCAGCGUCUGAAAAACAUAAUAAUUACAACUUUUAACAACGGAUCUCUUGGUUCUGGCAUCGAUGAAGAACGCAGCGAAAUGCGAUAAGUAGUGUGAAUUGCAGAAUUCAGUGAAUCAUCGAAUCUUUGAACGCACAUUGCGCCCCUUGGUAUUCCAUGGGGCAUGCCUGUUCGAGCGUCAUUUGUACCUUCAAGCUCUGCUUGGUGUUGGGUGUUUGUCCCGCCUUUGUGCGUGGACUCGCCUCAAAGCAAUUGGCAGCCGGCGUAUAGGUUUCGGAGCGCAGCACAAAACGCGCUCUGUGUCCUUGUACGACGACGUCCAUCAAGCCUUUUUUUACACUCUUGACCUCGGAUCAGGUAGGGAUACCCGCUGAACUUAAGCAUAUCAAUAAGCGGAGG